RNAcentral lists this transfer RNA (76 nucleotides) under Planctopirus limnophila DSM 3776. RNAcentral describes it as "tRNA-Asn". It matches the Rfam family "tRNA". Rfam says of the family: Transfer RNA (tRNA) molecules are approximately 80 nucleotides in length. Their secondary structure includes four short double-helical elements and three loops (D, anti-codon, and T loops). Lineage: Bacteria; Pseudomonadati; Planctomycetota; Planctomycetia; Planctomycetales; Planctomycetaceae. The record is from RNAcentral.
UCCCCGAUAGCUCAACCGGUAGAGCGCCGGACUGUUAAUCCGUAGGUUCUUGGUUCGAAUCCAAGUCGGGGAGCCU